UAGGGAAUCUUCGGCAAUGGACGAAAGUCUGACCGAGCAACGCCGCGUGAGUGAAGAAGGUUUUCGGAUCGUAAAACUCUGUUGGUAGAGAAGAACGUUGGUGAGAGUGGAAAGCUCAUCAAGUGACGGUAACUACCCAGAAAGGGACGGCUAACUACGUGCCAGCAGCCGCGGUAAUACGUAGGUCCCGAGCGUUGUCCGGAUUUAUUGGGCGUAAAGCGAGCGCAGGUGGUUUAUUAAGUCUGGUGUAAAAGGCAGUGGCUCAACCAUUGUAUGCAUUGGAAACUGGUAGACUUGAGUGCAGGAGAGGAGAGUGGAAUUCCAUGUGUAGCGGUGAAAUGCGUAGAUAUAUGGAGGAACACCGGUGGCGAAAGCGGCUCUCUGGCCUGUAACUGACACUGAGGCUCGAAAGCGUGGGGAGCAAACAGGAUUAGAUACCCUGGUAGUCCACGCCGUAAACGAUGAGUGCUAAGAUGU
This 477-nucleotide ribosomal RNA is filed under the name uncultured bacterium. RNAcentral describes it as "partial 16S ribosomal RNA". It matches the Rfam family "Bacterial small subunit ribosomal RNA", at positions 355 to 824 of the family's 1533-position model. The record is from RNAcentral.